Molecule: ribosomal RNA, 1251 nt
Filed under: metagenome
Description: bacterial LSU rRNA
Rfam family: Bacterial large subunit ribosomal RNA
Source: RNAcentral
UUAUACGACCGUACCGCAAACCGACACUGGUGCGCGAGAUGAGUAUUCUAAGGCGCUUGAGAGAACUCAGGAGAAGGAACUCGGCAAAUUGACACCGUAACUUCGGAAGAAGGUGUGCCCUAUUAGUGUGUAGUGAACAACGAAGCAUGAAUGGGUUGCAAAAAAUCGGUGGCUGCGACUGUUUAUUAAAAACACAGCACUCUGCAAACACGAAAGUGGACGUAUAGGGUGUGACGCCUGCCCGGUGCUGGAAGAUUAAAUGAUGGGGUGCAAGCUCUUGAUUGAAGUCCCAGUAAACGGCGGCCGUAACAAUAACGGUCCUAAGGUAGCGAAAUUCCUUGUCGGGUAAGUUCCGACCUGCACGAAUGGCGUAACGAUGGCCACACUGUCUCCUCCUGAGACUCAGCGAAGUUGAAAUGUUUGUGAUGAUGCAAUCUCCCCGCGGAAAGACGGAAAGACCCCAUGAACCUUUACUGUAGCUUUGUAUUGGACUUUGAACAGAUCUCUGUAGGAUAGGUGGGAGGCUUUGAAGCAGGGUCGCUAGAUCUUGUGGAGCCAACGUUGAAAUACCACCCUGGUGUGUUUGAGGUUCUAACCUAGGUCCAUUAUCUGGAUCGGGGACAGUGCAUGGUAGGCAGUUUGACUGGGGCGGUCUCCUCCCAAAGCGUAACGGAGGAGUUCGAAGGUACGCUAGUUACGGUCGGACAUCGUGACGAUAGUGCAAUGGCAUAAGCGUGCUUAACUGCGAGACUGACAAGUCGAGCAGAUGCGAAAGCAGGACAUAGUGAUCCGGUGGUUCUGUAUGGAAGGGCCAUCGCUCAACGGAUAAAAGGUACUCUGGGGAUAACAGGCUGAUACCGCCCAAGAGUUCAUAUCGACGGCGGUGUUUGGCACCUCGAUGUCGGCUCAUCUCAUCCUGGGGCUGUAGCCGGUCCCAAGGGUAUGGCUGUUCGCCAUUUAAAGAGGUACGUGAGCUGGGUUUAAAACGUCGUGAGACAGUUUGGUCCCUAUCUUCCGUGGGCGCUGCAGAUUUGAGGAAGCCUGCUCCUAGUACGAGAGGACCGGAGUGGACACACCUCUGGUGUAUCGGUUGUCACGCCAGUGGCAUUGCCGAGUAGCUAAGUGUGGAAGAGAUAACCGCUGAAAGCAUCUAAGCGGGAAACUCGUUUCAAGAUGAGAUCUGCCGGGGCCUUGAGCCCCCUAAAGAGUCGUUCAAGACCAGGACGUUGAUAGGUCAGGUGUGGAAGCUAU